This is a long non-coding RNA of Rhipicephalus microplus (southern cattle tick), 146 nucleotides long. Lineage: Eukaryota; Metazoa; Arthropoda; Arachnida; Ixodida; Ixodidae. The record is from RefSeq and is a predicted model, not a curated record.
CAUUUUCAUUUCCAGCUAGAGGAGUGUUCGAACUGCCUGACUCGUUAUUUCAAGAAGAGGUCUUCGUAGAGCAUUGCGAUGGAUCCCAGAUGUCUGCUGGUUGCAUUAUUGACUUUCGGCAUUAUGACGUAUGGUACUUUGCUCGC